CCUCUACAAGUGUGACAUCAGCGGUCAUGGAGAGUCUCCAUCCAGCUGGAUCACUGUCACAGACAAACACACCACCACAUCUGUUCUCUCUGUGCUGUUGUCUGUUGGAUCCGUCUGUGUAGUGCUUCUACUGGUGUUACUGGUUCUGCUGGUGAGACGGCAUGCUCAUAGGAAACCUGAAGCUGAAAAUCCUGAAGAAGUCCCAGAAAACCAAGUCACCUACACUGAGGUCAUUUUAUCAAAUUGUCAACAAAAAGCAGUCAAAUCAAAAAGAGAGAAUGAUCCAGCUGCACUCGAUGCAACACAAGAUGUCACUGCUGGGCAGAAAAUAAAAGACUUUAAACCAGAGCCAGACGUCGUCUACUCUUCAGUGAAGUAGUCCACCAGUCCAACCACUGACGUCCAGCUGCUGGUCCCUAACUGGUCCGUUCCUCCUCCCUCUCGUUCUCACUGAAUUAGACCUGCAUGCUCACAAUGUAUUUUUAACUUGAGUUUUCAAAUUUUAUCCUCUACUAAUAUGAUUUAUGUCCUUGACUGUUCUUAUGUUUAAUUUAUUCAUGUUUGAUGGCCUUUGUUCAUUCCAGGAUGUGCAUGUUUGAGACUAUGCUCUGUCGCCUCUGUCAGUGCGCCCCAGGGUGGCUGUGGCUACAAUGUAGCUUGCCAUCACCAGUGUGUGAAUGUGUGCGUGAAUGGGUGAAUGACUGGAUAUGUAAAGCGCUUUGGGGUCCUUAGGGACCAUAAAGGCGCUAUAUAAAUACAGGCCAUUUACCAUUUACUAUAGGAUUGGCAUUUUAUAUCAUCUAAAAACCAAAGAGGAAAGGGAUUCCAAAGGCAUUUGCGUCUCCUUCUGAGACUGAACUGGGAAUGUAUUUGUUAGUGAAUGAUGAAAACCAGGGGUGGGCCUCGAGGGCUGGUGUCCUGCAGGUUUUACAUGUGUCCUUGAUCCAACACAGCUGAUUUCAAUGGCUAAUUUACCUCCUCAACAUGUCUUGAAGUUCUCCAGAGGCCUGAACUGAUCAUUUGAUUUAGGUGUGUUGACCCAGGGCAAGGCUUGGAGUUUCCCACCCCUGCUGUAAACUACAACACAAUGAAGUCACUUAAAAAAAUAAAAAGCAAAACAUUAAGAAGAUCUAAUGUUCUCACCUCCUCAGCAAAGAGCUGAAAGGGUUUGGUGUCCGAUAAUUUACAUGUAUGAUCAGUCUGGCUGAUUCAUGUGUCCCAGCUCUUGGGUUAAACUACUCUAAAGCCUAACAUAGCCAAAACAUCCAUUUAGAGUCUGCAGCCAUCUACUGUUAAGUCCAAGUAUUACAGUUAUACAGAUGUAAUUUAAAGACAAAAUGUUUUCUUCUUUCACUUUAGAGAAAUAAACCAGGAACUGAGCAGGUCUGACUUGUUUGUUCUAGGGAUGGACCGAUCAGAUACAGUAUUGGUAUCAUUCAGAUCCUGACCUAAAUUACUUUAUUGGAUAUCGGGGAGAAAUAAAAAAUGUAACCCGAUCCAUUAAAUGUCACAAAAGCAUCUCACAAAACUUGCAACACAGCAUAACCGAGGUAGUGACCUUAGCAUGCGUCACACAGUAGAGUGGCUGUUGUGUAUGAGACCUGUCGGCAUUGUAGAGUUGCUUCACACUGAAAGCACCUGCAGCCAAACCGGCAUUUAAUCUCUGAGCAAGCUACCCCAGAGAAGUAAAGCAAGUAAGUUCAUUUUUGAAUGCAAAGCGAUCUUACAUUAAGUUUAACAACCGAUUUAUGGAGCUUGGACGUCUGUGUGUUGUAAUUGCUAAGUCUGACCAUACAAAAGAUAGACUUAAGUUUUACUUUAAAAAACAAACCGAACUUUGACACUUGUGUUAAGGUUUGACAUAAAAUUCAGUGUCAGGUUAAAUGUGAUAGAAACAGCUUACUGACAUCCAUCUUGAUAACAGAUGAGUGUCAUGAAGCCAUGUUGCUUUCAUUUGCACUUAUUUCCACUCUGGAUGUCUAUUUACAUUUAGCUUUAAGUAUGAAAGAGUCCAUUUUAAGUUGUGGAAUAUAAAGAUCAUUUUGUCCUGAUAUUGCACUUCUUUUUUCAGAACAAAAGAGCUUUUGAAAUCUGCAUAAGAUUGCAUUUUAAAUUAUUUUUGAAUAUUACUUUGUACUUAGAUUUAAAGUUUUGCUAAAUGUUUAAAUAAAAAAAAAUCAGCGUUGAACCGUGAAAUAUUUUGGGUGGCGUGUAUUCUUUGCAUGCAAGUAUAAUAGAAUAGCUUGGUCUUUUAAAGUGUUUGGUCUUUUGAGUAUUUGAGUAAUUUGAGUAUGACCUAAUACAAAAUGCAACAAGAUAUAUAUAAAAAACAGCUUUAUAAAUUUUAAAAUAAACUAUAUAGGCAGAUGUCAAAAUUUAUGAUUUCAGUAUCAGUCUAUAGUCUAUCUAUCUAUCUAUGUAUCUAUACACACACACAUACACACACACACACACACACACAUACAUACAUACACACACACACACACACACACACACACACACACACACGUGUAUAUAUAUAUAUAUAUAUAUGUAUAUAUUACAUUUUUCUUUUACAUAAACCAAAUUCCUGAAUGACAUAAAAGGCUCAAGACUGUCCUUUCCAGGCAAGCAGGGAUCAAUGUCUACUCACAGUUCUUUAGCAACGCACACAACUGCAAGGUGGCUCUUGCUAUAUGUUGCUCAACCUCUGUGCUCUGGACCAUGUACUCAAUAGUGUAACUGCGUUUUCCCACCACAAGAGGGCUCAUGCACUGUCGACAGCCUUUCCAUCAGAAAUAUUAAACACAUUUUAAAUAUUUUCUCUGUGCUGUUGAAAUAUGUUGUUCUUUGGUUCAUAUUAGAAGUAUUACUGCCCAGUCAUGAGUACAGUCAUGUUUAUUCCACUGACUAUUUCAUGAUUAACCUGAAUACAAGUAAAUAAAAGUGAAUAAAUAAAAUAAAAUAUACAAGUAAAUAAAAGUGAAUACAAGUAAAGUGAAAGUAAAGGAAUCUUCAUCCACAGUUAUAUACAAUGCAGAUAUUUAUAAAGCUCAUACAUCUGAAUCAUUGUGUUCCAGUCAGUAGAUUAUGUCUGCACAGCUGUCAUUGUCAUUGUCCACUUAACCUCAUGGUGGCAGUGUUGUUACAAUGAAACAUGAAUAUUUAGCUCUCCACAGAACACUUAACGUUUCCUUUAACGUCAGAGUUUGAUGGUUUUCACAGUGAAAUUAUUUAAAUCUGAUUCAAACCCUGUUCAUUAAAGUUAGAUAUUAGAAUCAGAUAUACAUAAAUAAAGGAAAAGUUUAAUGUUUAUUUAUUUUUCAUUUGUCUUUGAGUUUCAGCGUAGUCUCUAUGAUCCACCACGGGGUGCAUUUCAGCAUCUUUCUUCCCACAGCUCUGAAU
This is a long non-coding RNA of Oreochromis aureus, 3384 nucleotides long. RefSeq lists it as uncharacterized. The transcript has 5 exons. Lineage: Eukaryota; Metazoa; Chordata; Actinopteri; Cichliformes; Cichlidae. The record is from RefSeq and is a predicted model, not a curated record.